This 293-nucleotide ribosomal RNA is filed under the name uncultured bacterium. RNAcentral's name for it is "partial 16S ribosomal RNA". It matches the Rfam family "Archaeal small subunit ribosomal RNA", at positions 455 to 747 of the family's 1478-position model. The record is from RNAcentral.
GUGCCAGCCGCCGCGGUAAUACCGGCAGCACGAGUGAUGGCCGAUCUUAUUGGGCCUAAAGCGUCCGUAGCUGGGCCUGAAAGUCCAUCGGGAAAUCCACGCGCUCAACGAGUGGCCGUCCGGUGGAAACUACACACCUUGGGACCGGAAGGCUCGAAGGGUACGGCCGGGGUAGGAGUGAAAUCCUGUAAUCCCGGCCGUACCACCGAUGGCGAAAGCACUUCGAGAAAACGGAUCCGACAGUGAGGGACGAAAGCUAAGAUCGCGAACCGGAUUAGAUACCCGAGUAGUCC